UGUUCCCGCCCGGGAUCGAACCGGGGACCUUGUGCGUGUGAAGCACACGUGAUAGCCACUACACCACGGAAAC
Molecule: transfer RNA, 73 nt
Filed under: Cordylochernes scorpioides
Lineage: Eukaryota; Metazoa; Arthropoda; Arachnida; Pseudoscorpiones; Chernetidae
Description: tRNA-Val
Source: RNAcentral